Brugia malayi is the source of this 83-nucleotide non-coding RNA. The record is from RefSeq and is a predicted model, not a curated record. Lineage: Eukaryota; Metazoa; Nematoda; Chromadorea; Rhabditida; Onchocercidae.
UGGCAAACCGGAUGGAUCCCGAUCUGAUCCAGUUAGUAAUUUAUGAGAAACCGGAUGGAUCCGGAUCUGAUCCAGUUAGUAAU